ACCUCGGAUCAGGUAGGAAGACCCGCUGAACUUAAGCAUAUCAAUAAGCGGAGGAAAAGAAACCAACAGGGAUUGCCCUAGUAACGGCGAGUGAAGCGGCAACAGCUCAAAUUUGAAAUCUGGCUUCGGCCCGAGUUGUAAUUUGCAGAGGAAGCUUUAGGCGCGGCACCAUCUGAGUCCCCUGGAACGGGGCGCCAUAGAGGGUGAGAGCCCCGUAUAGAUGGACGCCUAGCCUGUGUAAAGCUCCUUCGACGAGUCGAGUAGUUUGGGAAUGCUGCUCAAAAUGGGAGGUAAAUUUCUUCUAAAGCUAAAUAUUGGNCCAGAGACCGAUAGCGCACAAGUAGAGUGAUCGAAAGAUGAAAAGCACUUUGAAAAGAGGGUUAAAUAGCACGUGAAAUUGUUGAAAGGGAAGCGCUUGUGACCAGACUUGCGCCGGGCGGAUCAUCCGGUGUUCUCACCGGUGCACUCCGCCCGGCUCAGGCCAGCAUCGGUUCUCGCGGGGGGAUAAAGGCCCUGGGAACGUAGCUCCUCCGGGAGUGUUAUAGCCCGGGGCGUAAUGCCCUCGCGGGGACCGNGACC
Molecule: ribosomal RNA, 579 nt
Filed under: Chaetomiaceae sp. BESC196e
Lineage: Eukaryota; Fungi; Ascomycota; Sordariomycetes; Sordariales; Chaetomiaceae
Description: eukaryotic LSU rRNA
Rfam family: Eukaryotic large subunit ribosomal RNA
Source: RNAcentral